AUGACUGAGGCACAGAUGCGUCCGCUCUGCAGUGGCUCCUUCAGGCAGCAGCCAGAGCACCUGGGAGAGAUGAGACACGGAUGCUCACCUUGCUUCCCUCUCCCCGCCGCCUGCCCAGGAGAACCCGCCAGUAGAGGUGGAGGGGCCCCUCUUGGCACGGAGCUCUGCUGGCCUGGGAGACAGGAUGAUGCAGGUGAGAUAAAACUUUUCUUUCCAUCUUUUCUGUGUGCUGCUGCUGCUUUUUUACUUUACUGUGUUGCUUUGACCUUCUUGACUGGACUUCAGAGCUCUCCCAGAGCUAUUUUUGUGUGUGGAUAGUAGUUGUUCCAUGAUUGUUUUUUUGUGGAGAGAUGAGGGUGAGAUUUCCUACUUUGCCGUCUAGCUGACAUCACCCAGUAGACCUCUUUCAGUUUGUUCAUUUUCACUGCGACGGGGUAUGCCAGCCUUUCAUUCUAUGACUGCAAUCAUUUGUCCAUUCUGUGCUGUGUGCAUUUAUUUAUUUUGCUUUUGUGAAUAAUACAGUAUGGGUAGUCUCCCGCCUGUCUCCUGGUGGUCAUAUAAAAAGUUUUCUUUAGGGGAUUUUCUGCUGGGCUCGCUUGGGGAAUCUUCCAUGCUUGCAGCCGUCUGACAGCUCAACUGGAUCUGCAGGGCGCCAUGGUAGCCUCAUUUCAUCUGCCUGCUUUUCAUCUGUCUGGCUGCUGAUGCUGGCUCCUGGCUUCCUUAUCUUCCAUAUGGCUUCUCUCCUUCCAGUUGGCUAGACUGGUUUUUGCAAGCAAGGAAGUCUCAGGGUUCUAAGAAGGUGACAGCAGGAGAUGCAAGGUCUCUUCAGUUCUAGGCUGGGUCAUUCUCACAUGUGCUCUUGGUCAAAGUAAGGACAAGACCCAUCAGGAUAUAAGAGGUGGGGAUACAGUGUUCACAUCCCAGACCCAUGUUUUUAGUCUCGCACAGUCCAGUCAGUAGCCAACUGUUUCUCUUGCGACGGAGUAAACCACCUUGAACUUAGUAAAACAGCAAUGAUGUGCUGUUCUCUGGGAGUCUCGUGGUUGGCCACCUGCUCCGUUUGGGUGCUUGUCUACCCCGUGGGCGUUUAUGAGGCUGCAGUCUUCUGGUCUGAGUGGACCUGGAGGACCUGUGGAGACCCGUAAGCUGCUGCAGCUGGAGCUGGCCCUUGGCUGGGGAAGCCAGCUUCUCCCUCUAGGUAGCACCUCAUCCUUUGGUGAAUAGGAUUCGGAAUGCUCACGCUGUGGCGGUUUCAGGGAUCCGAGAACGUGAGGCCAGAAUUCACAAGGAUUGUAACAUACACCGACCUCACCUCUAACAGUUUAUUGGUCAAAGCAAGACCAAGUCCAGCCCCGCUUUAAGGAGAACACGUUUUAAUUGAUGUGAGGAGUUGCAGCCUACCAUGGAUCUAUUUUCAGUCUACCGUGGCUUGUAAGCUUUUUUGUUUGAAAGUCUACUUCGUCUGAUAUUAAUAAAGUACAUCAGGUUUAUUUAAAAAAUUAUUUA
This 1506-nucleotide long non-coding RNA is filed under the name Sus scrofa (pig). RNAcentral describes it as "lncRNA (ENSSSCG00050054610.1)". The record is from RNAcentral. Lineage: Eukaryota; Metazoa; Chordata; Mammalia; Artiodactyla; Suidae.